This 274-nucleotide ribosomal RNA is filed under the name uncultured Bacteroides sp. RNAcentral describes it as "partial 16S ribosomal RNA". It matches the Rfam family "Bacterial small subunit ribosomal RNA", at positions 70 to 339 of the family's 1533-position model. Lineage: Bacteria; Pseudomonadati; Bacteroidota; Bacteroidia; Bacteroidales; Bacteroidaceae. The record is from RNAcentral.
CAUGGUCUUAGCUUGCUAAGGCCGAUGGCGACCGGCGCACGGGUGAGUAACACGUAUCUAACCUGCCGUCUACUCUUGGACAGCCUUCUGAAAGGAAGAUUAAUACAAGAUGGCAUCAUGAGUCCACAUGUUCACAUGAUUAAAGGUUUACCGGUGUAAGAUGGGGAUGCGUUCCAUUAGAUAGUAGGCGGGGUAACGGCCCACCUAGUCUUCGAUGGAUAGGGGUUCUGAGAGGAAGGUCCCCACAUUGGAACUGAGACACGGUCCAAACUCC